UACAGGGGGGGGCAAGCGUUGUUCGGAAUUACUGGGCGUAAAGGGCUCGUAGGCGGCCAACUAAGUCAGACGUGAAAUCCCUCGGCUUAACCGGGGAACUGCAUCUGAUACUGGAUGGCUUGAGUUCGGGAGAGGGAUGCGGAAUUCCAGGUGUAGCGGUGAAAUGCGUAGAUAUCUGGAGGAACACCUGUGGCGAAGGCGGCCAUCUGGACGGGCACUGACGCUGAGGCGCGAAAGCGUGGGUAGCAAACAGG
RNAcentral lists this ribosomal RNA (254 nucleotides) under uncultured bacterium. Its description in RNAcentral is "partial 16S ribosomal RNA". It matches the Rfam family "Bacterial small subunit ribosomal RNA", at positions 524 to 776 of the family's 1533-position model. The record is from RNAcentral.